GCCGACGUGGCGGAAUGGUAGACGCAGGGGACUUAAAAUCCCUGAACGCGCGAGCGUUGUGCGGGUUCGAGUCCCGCCUUCGGCA
This 85-nucleotide transfer RNA is filed under the name Deltaproteobacteria bacterium. RNAcentral's name for it is "tRNA-Leu". It matches the Rfam family "tRNA". From Rfam's summary of the family: Transfer RNA (tRNA) molecules are approximately 80 nucleotides in length. Their secondary structure includes four short double-helical elements and three loops (D, anti-codon, and T loops). Lineage: Bacteria; Pseudomonadati; Myxococcota; Myxococcia. The record is from RNAcentral.